GUCCAGACUCCUACGGGAGGCAGCAGUGGGGAAUAUUGCACAAUGGGGGAAACCCUGAUGCAGCGACGCCGCGUGAGUGAAGAAGUCUUUCGGUAUGUAAAGCUCUAUCAGCAGGGAAGAAAAUGACGGUACCUGACUAAGAAGCCCCGGCUAACUACGUGCCAGCAGCCGCGGUAAUACGUAGGGGGCAAGCGUUAUCCGGAUUUACUGGGUGUAAAGGGAGCGUAGACGGCAUGGCAAGUCAGAUGUGAAAGCCCGGGGCUCAACCCCGGGACUGCAUUUGAAACUGUCAGGCUGGAGUGCAGGAGAGGUAAGUGGAAUUCCUAGUGUAGCGGUGAAAUGCGUAGAUAUUAGGAGGAACACCAGUGGCGAAGGCGGCUUACUGGACUGUAACUGACGUUGAGGCUCGAAAGCGUGGGGAGCAAACAGGAUUAGAUACCCUAGUAC
This 447-nucleotide ribosomal RNA is filed under the name uncultured bacterium. Its description in RNAcentral is "partial 16S ribosomal RNA". It matches the Rfam family "Bacterial small subunit ribosomal RNA", at positions 329 to 793 of the family's 1533-position model. The record is from RNAcentral.